AGUGAACGCUGGCGGUAGGCCUAACACAUGCAAGUCGAACGGCAGCACAGUAAGAGCUUGCUCUUACGGGUGGCGAGUGGCGGACGGGUGAGGAAUACAUCGGAAUCUACUUUUUCGUGGGGGAUAACGUAGGGAAACUUACGCUAAUACCGCAUACGACCUACGGGUGAAAGCAGGGGAUCUUCGGACCUUGCGCGAUUGAAUGAGCCGAUGUCGGAUUAGCUAGUUGGCGGGGUAAGGGCCCACCAAGGCGACGAUCCGUAGCUGGUCUGAGAGGAUGAUCAGCCACACUGGAACUGAGACACGGUCCAGACUACUACGGGAGGCAGCAGUGGGGAAUAUUGGACAAUGGGCGCAAGCCUGAUCCAGCCAUACCGCGUGGGUGAAGAAGGCCUUCGGGUUGUAAAGCCCUUUUGUUGGGAAAGAAAAGCAGCAGGUUAAUACCCCGCUGUUCUGACGGUACCCAAAGAAUAAGCACCGGCUAACUUCGUG
This 492-nucleotide ribosomal RNA is filed under the name uncultured bacterium. RNAcentral describes it as "partial 16S ribosomal RNA". It matches the Rfam family "Bacterial small subunit ribosomal RNA", at positions 29 to 507 of the family's 1533-position model. The record is from RNAcentral.